CAGUAGCCGCGGGAAUACGGAGGGGGCUAGCGUUGUUCGGAAUUACUGGGCGUAAAGCGCACGUAGGCGGCUUGGUAAGUUAGAGGUGAAAGCCUGGAGCUCAACUCCAGAAUUGCCUUUAAGACUGCCGAGCUAGCAGGUGAGAGAGGUAAGUGGAAUUCCGAGUGUAGAGGUGAAAUUCGUAGAUAUUCGGAAGAACACCAGUGGCGAAGGCGGCUUACUGGCUCAUACUGGACGCUGAGGUGCGAAAGCGUGGGGAGCAAACAGGAUUAGAUACCCCGGUAGUCCCUGUCUCUUAUAA
This 301-nucleotide ribosomal RNA is filed under the name uncultured bacterium. RNAcentral's name for it is "partial 16S ribosomal RNA". It matches the Rfam family "Bacterial small subunit ribosomal RNA", at positions 509 to 809 of the family's 1533-position model. The record is from RNAcentral.